GAAUAGCUCAGUUUGGUUAGAGCGAAGGAUUGAAAAUCCUUAUGUCGUUGGUUCAAACCCAAUUUUAGG
This 69-nucleotide transfer RNA is filed under the name uncultured eukaryote. It matches the Rfam family "tRNA", at positions 6 to 65 of the family's 71-position model. From Rfam's summary of the family: Transfer RNA (tRNA) molecules are approximately 80 nucleotides in length. Their secondary structure includes four short double-helical elements and three loops (D, anti-codon, and T loops). The record is from RNAcentral.